UACGUAGGGUGCGAGCGUUAAUCGGAAUUACUGGGAGUAAAGCGUGCGAAGGCGGUUUUGUAAGUCUGUGGUGAAAGCCCCGGGCUCAACCUGGGAAUUGCGAUGGAGACUGCAAGGCUUGAAUCUGGCAGAGGGGGGUAGAAUUCCACGUGUAGCAGUGAAAUGCGUAGAGAUGUGGAGGAACACCGAUGGCGAAGGCAGCCUCCUGGGCCAGCACUGACGCUCAUGCACGAAAGCGUGGGGAGCAAACAGG
This 253-nucleotide ribosomal RNA is filed under the name uncultured bacterium. RNAcentral's name for it is "partial 16S ribosomal RNA". It matches the Rfam family "Bacterial small subunit ribosomal RNA", at positions 524 to 776 of the family's 1533-position model. The record is from RNAcentral.